AGAGUUUGAUCAUGGCUCAGGAUGAACGCUGGCGGCGUGCUUAACACAUGCAAGUCGAACGAACCUUCGGGUUAGUGGCGGACGGGUGAGUAACGCGUGAGAAUCUGCCCUCAGGAGGGGGAUAACGGUUGGAAACGACCGCUAAUACCCCAUAUGCCUACUGGUGAAAUGAAUUUCGCCUGAGGAUGAGCUCGCGUCUGAUUAGCUAGUUGGUGAGGUAAUGGCUCACCAAGGCUUCGAUCAGUAGCUGGUCUGAGAGGAUGAUCAGCCACACUGGGACUGAGACACGGCCCAGACUCCUACGGGAGGCAGCAGUGGGGAAUUUUCCGCAAUGGGCGAAAGCCUGACGGAGCAACGCCGCGUGAGGGACGAAGGCCUCUGGGCUGUAAACCUCUUUUCUCAAGGAAGAAGAUAUGACGGUACUUGAGGAAUAAGCCACGGCUAAUUCCGUGCCAGCAGCCGCGGUAAUACGGGAGUGGCAAGCGUUAUCCGGAAUUAUUGGGCGUAAAGCGUCCGCAGGCGGCUUUUCAAGUCUGCUGUUAAAGAGUGGAGCUUAACUCCAUCAUGGCAGUGGAAACUGAAAGGCUUGAGUAUGGUAGGGGCAGAGGGAAUUCCCGGUGUAGCGGUGAAAUGCGUAGAUAUCGGGAAGAACACCAGUGGCGAAGGCGCUCUGCUGGGCCAUUACUGACGCUCAUGGACGAAAGCCAGGGGAGCGAAAGGGAUUAGAUACCCCUGUAGUCCUGGCCGUAAACGAUGAACACUAGGUGUCGGGGGAAUCGACCCCUUCGGUGUCGUAGCUAACGCGUUAAGUGUUCCGCCUGGGGAGUACGCACGCAAGUGUGAAACUCAAAGGAAUUGACGGGGGCCCGCACAAGCGGUGGAGUAUGUGGUUUAAUUCGAUGCAACGCGAAGAACCUUACCAGGGUUUGACAUCCUGCGAACCUCUUAGAAAUUUGAGGGUGCCUUCGGGAAUGCAGUGACAGGUGGUGCAUGGCUGUCGUCAGCUCGUGUCGUGAGAUGUUGGGUUAAGUCCCGCAACGAGCGCAACCCACGUUUUUAGUUGCCAGCAUUUAGUUGGGCACUCUAGAAAGACCGCCGGUGAUAAACCGGAGGAAGGUGUGGAUGACGUCAAGUCAUCAUGCCCCUUACACCCUGGGCUACACACGUACUACAAUGCUACGGACAAAGGGCAGCAAACUCGCGAGAGCUAGCAAAUCCCAUAAACCGUGGCUCAGUUCAGAUCGUAGGCUGCAACUCGCCUACGUGAAGUAGGAAUCGCUAGUAAUCGCAGGUCAGCAUACUGCGGUGAAUACGUUCCCGGGCCUUGUACACACCGCCCGUCACACCAUGGAAGUUGGCCAUGCCCGAAGUCGUUACUCCAACCCUUGUGGAGGAGGACGCCGAAGGUGGGGCUAAUGACUGGGGUGAAGUCGUAACAAGGUAGCCGUA
This 1449-nucleotide ribosomal RNA is filed under the name uncultured bacterium. RNAcentral describes it as "bacterial SSU rRNA". It matches the Rfam family "Bacterial small subunit ribosomal RNA". The record is from RNAcentral.